AACGCGAAGAACCUUACCAGGUCUUGACAUACUAUGCAAAUCUAAGAGAUUAGACGUUCCCUUCGGGGACAUGGAUACAGGUGGUGCAUGGUUGUCGUCAGCUCGUGUCGUGAGAUGUUGGGUUAAGUCCCGCAACGAGCGCAACCCUUAUUAUCAGUUGCCAGCAUUAAGUUGGGCACUCUGGUGAGACUGCCGGUGACAAACCGGAGGAAGGUGGGGAUGACGUCAAAUCAUCAUGCCCCUUAUGACCUGGGCUACACACGUGCUACAAUGGAUGGUACAACGAGUUGCGAACUCGCGAGAGUAAGCUAAUCUCUUAAAGCCAUUCUCAGUUCGGAUUGUAGGCUGCAACUCGCCUACAUGAAGUCGGAAUCGCUAGUAAUCGCGGAUCAGCAUGCCGCGGUGAAUACGUUCCCGGGCCUUGUACACACCG
This 433-nucleotide ribosomal RNA is filed under the name Lactiplantibacillus plantarum. RNAcentral describes it as "bacterial SSU rRNA". It matches the Rfam family "Bacterial small subunit ribosomal RNA", at positions 958 to 1392 of the family's 1533-position model. The record is from RNAcentral. Lineage: Bacteria; Bacillati; Bacillota; Bacilli; Lactobacillales; Lactobacillaceae.